Long non-coding RNA from Aplysia californica (California sea hare), 3340 nucleotides. RefSeq lists it as uncharacterized. The record is from RefSeq and is a predicted model, not a curated record. The transcript has 2 exons. NCBI's taxonomy places the organism in Eukaryota, Metazoa, Mollusca, Gastropoda, Aplysiida, Aplysiidae.
GUGUGUGUGUGUGUGUGUAUGUGUGUGUGUUUGUGUGUGUACACAUGUACUUUCCAGGGCCUGUGCAAUAAAAAGUGUGUAUGCUUUAUCCCCCAUGGACAUGUUCUAUGAACAUAAUAUACUAUAGUAAGGUGUUAGCCAAACAUAACAACACAUUUUUACAGAUUGCCAUGAAGUAAAGCGUACACUGUAUUUUUGCUGGCUGCAGUGAGCAUAAGCAAAUGAUCGAUGACCAGUUGCUAUAUUUACUGCGCUUUCGUUGCUACGUAUUUCAAUUUCUCUUUCACCAUGUGUGAGAUUGGUCUUGACCUCAUUCUUCCUUUGGCUGCGAUCCUCAGCCGUCUCUUCCAGGAGUUCUAAAGCUGACCUCUGUUGAGGCUACGCCCCUUCUGCUGACAUGUUGGUCGUAGCUUUGCCUGCGACGACCGUUUUUUUGUCCUCACUUCUGAAUAUUUUCGUAGAAAAGUUGUCGUCUUAUUUGUCUGUCUUCCGUGCUUUGCCUCUCAAGUAUGUGUUGCAUGGGUAGUGAAUUUACAUUUUGAAUUCCUAAUCAUUCCGGUAUCACUUUGUGGAUAAUUUCGUCCUUACAUUUUAUCUGAAGAAUGUCUUUCUAAGGCGUCUCAUAUAACACUAUUGAGGUUUUUUCCUGAUAAGAAUACACUGUCCAGGUCUCCCCAACGAAACGCACGGAGCCUAAACACACUCGUGAUACACUGUUUUCCGGAGCCUGAAAGUGAGAUUCCUUAUGCAGCAAAUUGUCUUUGACAGAGUACUGACUGUUGUGGACUUCUUGUCAAUUCUGACCUUCCACUCUUUUAAAAUGCUUGUUUGCCGGUCAUUCAUUUUGAUACCAGAAUACGUACGUACGUAAAUGGCAUCUCUGGAUAAAACAAAUUCAUCUCCCACUCUUCUCCCCCCCCCCCAACCUCGUGGGAAUGAAAUAGCAAUCAGUAUUACAAUUUAUAUUGCUAGUCCACCAGUGUUUCCUGAGUAUAAAUAUCCAUGCAGCGUUUGUGAGUGUAAUAACUUCGAAUUACUUACAACAGAUGAACGUUCAGUUUAAAUACACCUGAGAUGAAAAUAAUUUUUCCGAGUACCACUGUCUUUCCGUAUGAAUGCAGUAAGUAUCCCAGACAGCCCAAGUCUAGGUCGGGAGUAAGACUUUUGAAGUCAUCAUUUGAGUUUUGAACUUUUUCUAAAGUUCUUUGAAUCUCAACACGAUAGAACAACGUGUGAUUAAAAAUACCUGACGCAAAACAUUAUUUUUCAUUGAUCGUUUACAAGAAGGGAAAUUAAGAAAAAAAACAACUCUUGCCAUAUUGAAAUCCUCUGUUAGUAGCGUUGGAAUGAAGAAACCCAACUCUUCCCGAUGCUCUGCUUGGCUAUUUGAUGGUCAAUAAAUAAAGCCAUUGCAUAACUCUCGGAAGGGUCUAGCGGUAUCCGCAGUUUCCCACUCCAUUACCCGCUAAAUGCAGCACGAAGGUUCAAUCCGCUGGCUCGGGAGAAGUUUGUUUCCCCAGGAGCACGCUUUGUUUACCACAGCAUUAGUGAUGGCCGGCUAGUCAGGCUUUUGGGACACGCUCAGUGUCUUGAUGUUUCCCUUCCCCGGGACUGGCGGCCGGCGCUCGGGCCCCGCGGUACUACAGCAGAGCCAGUUCCCAAUUUGGGCGCGCAACAACGAACGUAGCCCGGCUCUGUAAUGUGGACGCAAAGAUCACGGCGUCUAUCCAUCAAAUCGAUAACGCACCAUGCGAGCAAAAAUUCCCUCCGUGCGGACUGUUCUGUAUUUGUACUGCGACUCAUCCAUCCGGCCCUAAAUCCGACGUUUAUAUCCAAAGUCAACGCGUCCCUAAACCACCGGUUGAGGCACCGGUUCAGAAUCAUUCAUCACGAUGACCAUCCGCCCUCCUCCCCUCCCUAAUGAUGUAUCGCAUAACUUCAUCCCCUCUCUGUUCCCCCCAGCCCCCACCCAAAUCCCUGGGUCCUUCUGGUCGGAAAUUGGUCAUUCUCUCUUGAAUGCGACUGCCACAAUCAGCAUCAUUCGAGGCGGUCGGGAAGGCGGGGGAUGGUAUUCUAACAGUACAGGGAGCAUUCAUUUGUUCUGUGAGGCGGAUCUCUCUUUCUGGUUCACGAGAAGGAGCACUCCGUAGAUUUCAAAAUAAAGUGCUUGCUUUCGCGGUCUGUGACGUAAUCUACUUCCGGUUAUUGCGCAUACGCGGCAAUCGGCCUCUUUUUUUGGCUAUUUAUUUUAAACGUCACCAUUGACUUAUAGCUGUCGCGGACAUUGCCCACACUCUCACAGUCAAUGGAGUGCGUGUGUACAUAACGGUGCGAAUUCUUACACUACUGUUUUCUUGAAGUAUUUAAUAGCGUGAGCCUAGUUUUUGAGUCAUGUGCUUCGAAUAAUAACAUGGUGGUUGCUUAAGACUAAUGAUAUUGAACAAACACGUACAGCAAAUGUUAUUUUCCGUCCAGAUACCACGUUGGAGAGCUUUCAUUUGUUUUUAAACUCUGACAACACAUCGUUUUCAAAUGCCACGAUUAUGAAUUAUUUGACUCGUCGCGUGUGACAAGUAAAAACAAGAAAAGGUUACUUUUCCCCCUCGUACAGCUGUUUCACAUAGCGUAUUACGUGGACGCAUCAGUCACCAAACAUGAAAUAACGAAUUUCAAAACCAAAUAAAGAGCACAACAGAACAACGAACCUCAAAACCAGUUUUAAAAAAGACCAAACCAAAACUGAGGACUUUAAGGAUAUGCUAUUUUUCUGGAAUUACUGCUUUCGUGCCAGUAUUUCGUGCAAAGAAUGAACGUAAUCCAGGAUUGUUGUCAAAAACGAUAGAAGAGGCAGGACGUUUCCACAGAAUUUGGAACAGAACGUUUCACAAUAUACGUUAUAGUUUGCUGCUUCGCUUCACAAUGGAUGAUACCACAGACGACUCGACUGAAGAAAUUUUAGAGUGAGUACAUACAUUACUGCUGUGUAGUUUUGAUAUAUAUUUCGUUUCUGUUUUAGUGUGUUACCUAGUUGAUUCCGUUCAAGAGGGGUAUUGCUUAUUUUCGAAAUAACGUUUUCAGGCGAUGCUUUUCUGUUGAAAAGCUGUCUGGUUGCUACAUUUUCAUAUUUUUGUGUGUGAAAAUAUUUUUCCUUUACUUGUGCUUCAGUGAUUGCCAUGAAAAGAACCACAUUUUGUUGACAUUAUGUAAUUACAGCGCACACGCUGAGUCAAAUCUUCCGCGAUCGAUAACGCACGCCCGUCUGGCUGAAAACUACCCUCAGUGCAGUCGGAAAAAGCCACCUGCCGCCCAACAUUAGGGUUGAUAAUGAUGCCUCCUCUCA